UUUAUUUUGAUUGAGUUAUUAAUGUGAGUUAUUGUUAUUUAAUAAUUAAUAAUAUAAAUUAAUAAUA
RNAcentral lists this transfer RNA (67 nucleotides) under Alnus nitida. RNAcentral describes it as "tRNA-Asn". The record is from RNAcentral. Lineage: Eukaryota; Viridiplantae; Streptophyta; Magnoliopsida; Fagales; Betulaceae. RNAcentral also lists the same sequence under 1 other name.